GAUCCUGGCUCAGAACGAACGCUGGCGGCAGGCCUAACACAUGCAAGUCGAGCGCGCCCUUCGGGGUGAGCGGCGGACGGGUUAGUAACGCGUGGGAACGUACCCUUUGGUAGGGAAUAGCCACUGGAAACGGUGAGUAAUACCCUAUGAGCCCUUCGGGGGAAAGAUUUAUCGCCAAAGGAUCGGCCCGCGUUAGAUUAGGUAGUUGGUGGGGUAAUGGCCUACCAAGCCUACGAUCUAUAGCUGGUUUUAGAGGAUGAUCAGCAACACUGGGACUGAGACACGGCCCAGACUCCUACGGGAGGCAGCAGUGGGGAAUCUUGGACAAUGGGGGCAACCCUGAUCCCAGCCAUGCCGCGUGAGUGAAGAAGGCCUUAGGGUCGUAAAGCUCUUUCGCCUGUGAAGAUAAUGACGGUAGCAGGUAAAGAAACCCCGGCUAACUCCGUGCCAGCAGCAGC
RNAcentral lists this ribosomal RNA (458 nucleotides) under uncultured bacterium. RNAcentral describes it as "bacterial SSU rRNA". It matches the Rfam family "Bacterial small subunit ribosomal RNA", at positions 15 to 518 of the family's 1533-position model. The record is from RNAcentral.